Non-coding RNA from Cricetulus griseus (Chinese hamster), 1141 nucleotides. The record is from RefSeq and is a predicted model, not a curated record. Lineage: Eukaryota; Metazoa; Chordata; Mammalia; Rodentia; Cricetidae.
GGGCAGAGCGCCGUCCCGGAAGCAGAUUUCUCUGUCCCGGAAGUGUUCAAAGAUGGCCGCGGUGAUGGCUUUCGCUGUGCUGCGGCAGCGGAUGAUGCGGUGGCCCCAAUCGUCCUACGCGGGGCUGGCCCCGCUCCGAGUUGCCAGAGGGAGCGUCCUUGGAUUUUCUUUCCGCUCAGGGAUGGUCUGGAGGCCAAGCAGUUCUACAGCUGAAGCAGCCGCCACUAAAGCAGAGGACAGCUCUUUUCUCCAGUGGUUCCUGCUUCUCAUCCCUGCUACUGCUUUUGGCUUGGGGACUUGGCAGGUCCAGCGUCGGAAAUGGAAGCUGAAACUGAUUGCAGAAUUAGAGUCUCGAGUCAUGGCUGAGCCCAUCCCUCUGCCUGCAGACCUAAUGGAACUGAAAAGUAUGGAGUACAGGCCAGUGAAGGUCAGGGGGCACUUUGACCACUCUAAAGAGCUGUACAUUAUGCCUCGGACCAUGGUGGACCCUGCCCGAGAGGCCCAAGAUGCUGGCAGAAUCUCCUCCUCGAUGGAAAGUGGAGCCUAUGUAGUUACUCCUUUCCAUUGCUCUGACUUGGGAAUCACCAUCCUGGUUAACAGAGGGUUUGUUCCGAAGAAGAAAGUGAAUCCUGAGACCAGACAGAAAGGCCAGGUUCUCGGAGAAGUAGACCUAGUUGGCAUAGUGAGGCUGACAGAAACCAGGAAGCCCUUUGUUCCUGAGAACAGCCCACAACAGAAUCACUGGCAUUACCGGGACCUGGAGGCUAUGGCCAAGAUAACAGGCGCAGACCCCAUUUUCAUUGAUGCAGACUUCCGUAUGUUGUGGCAGCUUGCCCUGGGAGAGCAAGCACUGUCCUACCUCCAUUUCCUUCCCUGGCUGGUUCAUUCUGCACUUUGGUAUGGGGACAGAAGGAAACAUCUUGAGGGUUUUAGUAGGGCCCUGACAGGGCUGAGAAUCCCUUCCAGAGGUGGAUAUUAAGCCCUGCUGUUUCUACAGAAAGUACAAUCCCUGGAGGACCCAUUGGAGGGCAAACAAGAGUCACUCUUCGGAACGAGCACAUGCAGUACAUCAUUACCUGGUAUGGACUGUGUGCAGCCACAUCGUACUUAUGGUUUCAAAAAUUUGUGAGGCGGACACCAG